AAUCAUCUCCAUUCAAACAUACAAAUAGGACGAUAUAAGAUUAUCAAAUAAACUAAAUGGAGAAAAUCUUAGCAUUUUUUAUCAUCAUCUUCCUCGUCUCGUCAUGUAUGGUAGAAGUGACUGUUACAAAGAGCUUCUUGAAACUGUGUCAAACAGACCAGGAUUGUGUGGACUAUAAAUUUCCAAACUGUGAGAGCACAGGGAAACCGCCAAUUUGCCAGAACAAUUAUUGUUGGUGUCCCGAUGAAAGGCUUCAUGCUUCCACCACUCCUUUAUUGACGACCACCUCCAACUCUUGAUAAUCUUCAUGUUGAUUUAGAUAAUGAAAAGACAAUAUAUAUAAAACUUGUUCAUCGUUAUCUUCUAAUAACUAAUGGCGAUAUUUUAAUAAUAUAAUGCUGCCUACUCACAUGGUAUGAGCUCUAUUAUCUAAAAA
This is a long non-coding RNA of Brassica oleracea var. oleracea, 436 nucleotides long. RefSeq lists it as uncharacterized. The transcript has 2 exons. The record is from RefSeq and is a predicted model, not a curated record. NCBI's taxonomy places the organism in Eukaryota, Viridiplantae, Streptophyta, Magnoliopsida, Brassicales, Brassicaceae.